RNAcentral lists this ribosomal RNA (1346 nucleotides) under uncultured bacterium. RNAcentral's name for it is "partial 16S ribosomal RNA". It matches the Rfam family "Bacterial small subunit ribosomal RNA", at positions 28 to 1381 of the family's 1533-position model. The record is from RNAcentral.
GACGAACGCUGGCGGCGUGCUUAACACAUGCAAGUCGAACGGAAAGGCCCUGCUUUUGUGGGGUGCUCGAGUGGCGAACGGGUGAGUAACACGUGAGUAACCUGCCCUUGACUUUGGGAUAACUUCAGGAAACUGGGGCUAAUACCGGAUAGGAGCUCCUGCUGCAUGGUGGGGGUUGGAAAGUUUCGGCGGUUGGGGAUGGACUCGCGGCUUAUCAGCUUGUUGGUGGGGUAGUGGCUUACCAAGGCUUUGACGGGUAGCCGGCCUGAGAGGGUGACCGGCCACAUUGGGACUGAGAUACGGCCCAGACUCCUACGGGAGGCAGCAGUGGGGAAUAUUGCACAAUGGGCGGAAGCCUGAUGCAGCAACGCCGCGUGCGGGAUGACGGCCUUCGGGUUGUAAACCGCUUUCGCCUGUGACGAAGCGUGAGUGACGGUAAUGGGUAAAGAAGCACCGGCUAACUACGUGCCAGCAGCCGCGGUGAUACGUAGGGUGCGAGCGUUGUCCGGAUUUAUUGGGCGUAAAGGGCUCAUAGGUGGUUGAUCGCGUCGGAAGUGUAAUCUUGGGGCUUAACCCUGAGCGUGCUUUCGAUACGGGUUGACUUGAGGAAGGUAGGGGAGAAUGGAAUUCCUGGUGGAGCGGUGGAAUGCGCAGAUAUCAGGAGGAACACCAGUGGCGAAGGCGGUUCUCUGGGCCUUUCCUGACGCUGAGGAGCGAAAGCGUGGGGAGCGAACAGGCUUAGAUACCCUGGUAGUCCACGCUGUAAACGGUGGGUACUAGGUGUGGGGUCCAUUCCACGGGUUCCGUGCCGUAGCUAACGCUUUAAGUACCCCGCCUGGGGAGUACGGCCGCAAGGCUAAAACUCAAAGGAAUUGACGGGGCCCCGCACAAGCGGCGGAGCAUGCGGAUUAAUUCGAUGCAACGCGUAGAACCUUACCUGGGUUUGACAUGGAUCGGGAGUGCUCAGAGAUGGGUGUGCCUCUUUUGGGGUCGGUUCACAGGUGGUGCAUGGCUGUCGUCAGCUCGUGUCGUGAGAUGUUGGGUUAAGUCCCGCAACGAGCGCAACCCUUGUUCACUGUUGCCAGCACGUUAUGGUGGGGACUCAGUGGAGACCGCCGGGGUCAACUCGGAGGAAGGUGGGGAUGACGUCAAGUCAUCAUGCCCCUUAUGUCCAGGGCUUCACGCAUGCUACAAUGGCUGGUACAGAGAGUGGCGAGCCUGUGAGGGUGAGCGAAUCUCGGAAAGCCGGUCUCAGUUCGGAUUGGGGUCUGCAACUCGACCUCAUGAAGUCGGAGUCGCUAGUAAUCGCAGAUCAGCAACGCUGCGGUGAAUACGUUCCCGGGGCU